GAUGAAGAACGCAGCGAAAUGCGAUAAGUAAUGUGAAUUGCAGAAUUCAGUGAAUCAUCGAAUCUUUGAACGCACAUUGCGCCCGCCAGUAUUCUGGCGGGCAUGCCUGUCUGAGCGUCAUUUCAACCCUCAUGCCCCUAGGGCGUGGUGUUGGGGAUCGGCCAAAGCCCGCGAGGGACGGCCGGCCCCUAAAUCUAGUGGCGGACCCGUCGUGGCCUCCUCUGCGAAGUAGUGAUAUUCCGCAUCGGAGAGCGACGAGCCCCUGCCGUUAAACCCCCAACUUUCCAAGGUUGACCUCAGAUCAGGUAGGAAUACCCGCUGAAAUUAAGCAUAUCAAUAAGCGGAGGA
Molecule: unclassified non-coding RNA, 348 nt
Filed under: soil metagenome
Description: partial contains 5.8S ribosomal RNA, internal transcribed spacer 2, and large subunit ribosomal RNA
Rfam family: 5.8S ribosomal RNA (bases 1-120)
Source: RNAcentral